UACGGGGGGGGCAAGCGUUGUUCGGAAUUACUGGGCGUAAAGGGCUCGUAGGUGGCCAACUAAGUCAGACGUGAAAUCCCUCGGCUUAACCGGGGAACUGCAUCUGAUACUGGAUGGCUUGAGUUUGGGAGAGGGAUGCGGAAUUCCAGGUGUAGCGGUGAAAUGCGUAGAUAUCUGGAGGAAUACCGGUGGCGAAGGCGGCAUCCUGGACCGACAUUGACGCUGAACGGCGAAAGCUAGGGGAGCAAACGGG
RNAcentral lists this ribosomal RNA (253 nucleotides) under uncultured bacterium. RNAcentral's name for it is "partial 16S ribosomal RNA". It matches the Rfam family "Bacterial small subunit ribosomal RNA", at positions 524 to 776 of the family's 1533-position model. The record is from RNAcentral.